AUGCUCAUUUUGGCAGCAUGCCAUACUAAAUUGCAAUGACACAGAGAAAGAUUAGCAUGGUCCUUGAGCAAGAAAGACACGUAAAUUCAUGAAGUGUUCUAUGCUUUU
RNAcentral lists this small nuclear RNA (108 nucleotides) under Sciurus vulgaris (Eurasian red squirrel). The record is from RNAcentral. Lineage: Eukaryota; Metazoa; Chordata; Mammalia; Rodentia; Sciuridae.